GACGAACGCUGGCGGCGUGCUUAACACAUGCAAGUCGAACGGAAAGGCCCGGCGUUUGUUGGUUGCUCGAGUGGCGAACGGGGGAGUAAAACGUGUGUAACCUGCACUUGACUUUGGGAUAACUUCAGGAAACUCGGGCUAAUACCGGAGAGGAGCUCCUGCUGCAUGGGGGGGGUUGGAAAGUUUCGGCGGUUGGGGCUGGACUCGCGGCUUAUCAGCUUGUUGGUCGGGUAGUGGCUUACCAAGGCUUUGAAGGGUAGCCGGCCUGAGAGGGUGACCGGGCACAUUGGGCCUGAGAUACGGCGCAGACUCCUACGGGAGGCAGCAGUCGAGAAUAUUGCACAAUGGGCGGACGCCUGAUGCAGCAACGUCGCGUGCGGGAUGACGGCCUUCGGGUUGUGAACCGCUUUCGACUGUGACGAGGCGUGAGUGACGGUAAUGGGUAAAGAAGCCCCGGCUAACUACGUG
Molecule: ribosomal RNA, 468 nt
Filed under: uncultured bacterium
Lineage: Bacteria
Description: partial 16S ribosomal RNA
Rfam family: Bacterial small subunit ribosomal RNA
Source: RNAcentral